RNAcentral lists this ribosomal RNA (253 nucleotides) under uncultured bacterium. RNAcentral's name for it is "partial 16S ribosomal RNA". It matches the Rfam family "Bacterial small subunit ribosomal RNA", at positions 524 to 776 of the family's 1533-position model. The record is from RNAcentral.
UACGUAGGCAGCGAGCGUUGUUCGGAGUUACUGGGCGUAAAGAGUGCGUAGGCGGUUUUCUAAGUUUGGUGUGAAAUCUCCCGGCUUAACUGGGAGGGUGCGCCGAAAACUGGAAGGCUUGAGUAUGGGAGAGGUAAGCGGAAUUCCUGGUGUAGCGGUGAAAUGCGUAGAUAUCAGGAGGAACACCUGCGGUGUAGACGGCUUACUGGACCAUAACUGACGCUGAGGAGCGAAAGCGUGGGGAGCGAACAGG